Molecule: ribosomal RNA, 713 nt
Filed under: uncultured bacterium
Lineage: Bacteria
Description: bacterial SSU rRNA
Rfam family: Bacterial small subunit ribosomal RNA
Source: RNAcentral
GGUAGUCCACGCCGUAAACGAUGUCGACUUGGAGGUUGUUCCCUUGAGGAGUGGCUUCCGGAGCUAACGCGUUAAGUCGACCGCCUGGGGAGUACGGCCGCAAGGUUAAAACUCAAAUGAAUUGACGGGGGCCCGCACAAGCGGUGUUACUUUGUGGUUUAAUUCGAUGCAACGCGAAGAACCUUACCUACUCUUGACAUCCAGAGAACUUAGCAGAGAUGCUUUGGUGCCUUCGGGAACUCUGAGACAGGUGCUGCAUGGCUGUCGUCAGCUCGUGUUGUGAAAUGUUGGGUUAAGUCCCGCAACGAGCGCAACCCUUAUCCUUUGUUGCCAGCGAUUCGGUCGGGAACUCAAAGGAGACUGCCGGUGAUAAACCGGAGGAAGGUGGGGAUGACGUCAAGUCAUUAUGGCCCUUACGAGUAGGGCUACACACGUGCUACAAUGGCGCAUACAAAGAGAAGCGACCUCGCGAGAGCAAGCGGACCUCACAAAGUGCGUCGUAGUCCGGAUCGGAGUCUGCAACUCGACUCCGUGAAGUCGGAAUCGCUAGUAAUCGUGGAUCAGAAUGCCACGGUGAAUACGUUCCCGGGCCUUGUACACACCGCCCGUCACACCAUGGGAGUGGGUUGCAAAAGAAGUAGGUAGCUUAACCUUCGGGAGGGCGCUUACCACUUUGUGAUUCAUGACUGGGGUGAAGUCGUAACAAGGUAACC